UGCUUGAAUACAUGCUGUCCAUUCAGCUGAGUAUCAGGGAUGUGAUAAUAACAGAUGAAAGCAAAAAAAGGUUACCAUAACUGAAAUAGGUGUAGCAACACAUGAAUGUCUUCCCUCUGAGAAAUGCACUGUACCAUUUUAUCAUCUGGUGCAAUAAGAUGCCAUCAUACAGUGAGAUCAUCCUUCUGAUCCUGUCCAGCCUGGAGUGGCCUGACAGUGCUGCUGACCUGCUGUGUGAAUGGGGAGACUCUGUGCUUAAUUCAGUGCUUCACCGGUCCUGGCUAGAUGUCACCAACAGCUGUGGAUUACAUGACACGUCCAGAAUAUGAUGAGGAAGAGUUUUAUUUCUUCAAGUUUUGUAUGUUAUAGGUAGAGAGAAACUAAAAAAAAAAAAAAGCUUUAAAUUCUCCUUAGAGACUUAUCUCAGAAUUGUUCUGUAUUUUACAGGAAGUCUAUCAGAUCCCUUUCACAGUUCUCAUCACCUUUGUUAUGCUCCUGAAACACUGCUCCAUUCCUCCCUUCCAAAUGUCUUCCUCCAUCUUCAGGUUAUUGCAGGGUGGCUACUGCAUAUUUUGUUGUGUGACUAAAUGCAGAUCCCUUCAAAGAUUAUCAAUGUUCCUCAGGCUGCUGGAAGGGACACUAAUGAGCAAUCUGUAUUUUUUUCCCUUGCCUCCUUUUUGUAAUCCUGUAUGAAGCAUGUUCACACCAUGCACCUCAUGCAGGAAUACAUUAUUUAGUACACAGAUAACUUGGUUAUCUGUGGAGCUUUGUGCUUCUUGUUCUGAGUGAGCCCCACUAUACAUCUUUCUGAGGUUUAUACUCAUGCUUGUUCCUUUAAAAUCUUCCCUGUCUAGACUCUUGACUCUUGAGCUAGACUCUGAUUGGGAACUGAAUGUAGCUAGAAUUCAGAUAAUUAGAUUUUUUACCUUUCCCCCCACCUGCUAUUUUUUUUUUUUGGGGGGGGGGAGGCAUGUUUCAGGAAAAAUGAAAGCCAAAAAUUAGAUCUAUAUUUAAGUAUUGUCACAGUAAGAAAAGUAGAAGAAAUCAUUAACCAUGGAAAAGAUCCGCACUGGCUGAAAUGUAUGGUGUUACGUGUGCUUGUACAGUCAGUACAAAACAGUGGUGCAUUGUCUUUGUUUCACGUUUGUUCGAACAGAAAAGCUGGAUUAUAAUGCUGAGAUAACAAUUGAUAUCCAAAUAAAUUGUUACUGAACCUUCA
This 1219-nucleotide long non-coding RNA is filed under the name Anser brachyrhynchus (Pink-footed goose). Its description in RNAcentral is "lncRNA (ENSABRG00000007511.1)". Lineage: Eukaryota; Metazoa; Chordata; Aves; Anseriformes; Anatidae. The record is from RNAcentral.